UACGAAGGGGGCUAGCGUUGCUCGGAAUUACUGGGCGUAAAGGGAGCGUAGGCGGACAUUUAAGUCAGGGGUGAAAUCCCGGGGGUCAACCUCGGAAUUGCCUUUGAUACUGGGUGUCUUGAGUAUGAGAGAGGUAUGUGGAACUCCGAGUGUAGAGGUGAAAUUCGUAGAUAUUCGGAAGAACACCAGUGGCGAAGGCGACAUACUGGCUCAUUACUGACGCUGAGGCUCGAAAGCGUGGGGAGCAAACAGG
Molecule: ribosomal RNA, 253 nt
Filed under: uncultured bacterium
Lineage: Bacteria
Description: partial 16S ribosomal RNA
Rfam family: Bacterial small subunit ribosomal RNA
Source: RNAcentral